AUUGAACGCUGGCGGCAGGCCUAACACAUGCAAGUCGAACGAGUGGCGGACGGGUGAGUACUGUCUGGGAAACUGCCCGAUGGAGGGGGAUAACUACUGGAAACGGUAGCUAAUACAGCAUACCAUCGGAUGUGCCCAGAUGGGAUUAGCUAGUAGGUGGGGUAACGGCUCACCUAGGCGACGAUCCCUCGCUGGUGUGAGAGGAUGACCAGCCACACUGGAACUGGGACACGGGCCAGAGUCCUACGGGAGGCGGCAGUGGGGAAUAGUGCACAAUGGGCGAAAGCCUGAUGCAGCCAUGCCGCGUGUAGGAAGAAGGCCUUCGGGUUGUAAAGGACGUUCAGCGAGGAGGAGUGACGCGCAGAAGAAGCAACGGCUAACUCCGUGCCAGGAGCCGCGGUAAUAC
This 406-nucleotide ribosomal RNA is filed under the name uncultured bacterium. Its description in RNAcentral is "partial 16S ribosomal RNA". It matches the Rfam family "Bacterial small subunit ribosomal RNA", at positions 29 to 526 of the family's 1533-position model. The record is from RNAcentral.